GACGAACGAGGGGGGGGGGAGGAACACAUGCAAGUCGAACGGAAAGGCCCUGCUUUUGUGGGGUGCUCGAGUGGCGAACGGGUGAGUAACACGUGAGUAACCUGCCCUUGACUUUGGGAUAACUUCAGGAAACUGGGGCUAAUACCGGAUAGGAGCUCCUGCUGCAUGGUGGGGGUUGGAAAGUUUCGGCGGUUGGGGAUGGACUCGCGGCUUAUCAGCUUGUUGGUGGGGUAGUGGCUUACCAAGGCUUUGACGGGUAGCCGGCCUGAGAGGGUGACCGGCCACAUUGGGACUGAGAUACGGCCCAGACUCCUACGGGAGGCAGCAGUGGGGAAUAUUGCACAAUGGGCGGAAGCCUGAUGCAGCAACGCCGCGUGCGGGAUGACGGCCUUCGGGUUGUAAACCGCUUUCGCCUGUGACGAAGCGUGAGUGACGGUAAUGGGUAAAGAAGCACCGGCUAACUACGUG
This 468-nucleotide ribosomal RNA is filed under the name uncultured bacterium. RNAcentral describes it as "partial 16S ribosomal RNA". It matches the Rfam family "Bacterial small subunit ribosomal RNA", at positions 28 to 507 of the family's 1533-position model. The record is from RNAcentral.